Molecule: non-coding RNA, 683 nt
Organism: Paramuricea clavata
Lineage: Eukaryota; Metazoa; Cnidaria; Anthozoa; Malacalcyonacea; Plexauridae
Source: the annotation of a GenBank genome assembly
UCUGGAACUUCUGUCUAUACAAAGCCGACUCAUACUGGUCAAUACUCCCACAUAUCAAUCAAGCUUCACACCCUGGUCAAGAAAAAUUGCUUGGAUCCGUGCUCUCGUAAAUCGCGCCUACAAAAUCUGCAGUAAUGCCACUCUCCUGAACAACGAGUUAAAACAAAUCCAAAAUUUCAUAUCUUGGAAUGGUUUCCCUCGCAAAUUAACCUCAAAACUUAGUAACCAAUUUAUACCGUCCCCACUGUAUCCAAUGACAACGACAACGAAGCCACAAUGACUGAAACAAACAAAGCUCCUAAUAUCUGGUUACAGCUACGAUAUCUUGGCAAAUUUGGUGAAAGACUAACUCGUUCGCUGAUACACAAAAUAACUCCUCUACUCACAUUAAAAUCCCGAUUCAUUAUUAACUGGAAGACCAUUAACAGCAACGUAUUUGUAUCAUGCAAAGAUAAAACCCCGAAAACUUAUCAAAGCUCCGUUGUCUAUGAAUUUACUUACCCUGGAUGUAAUAGUAGGUACAUCGGCAAAACUGACCGCUGCUUAUACACCAGAACUAAGGAACAUUCAUAUCACACUGAAUCUGUAAUCCAUCAACACCUCUCUACUUGUGAACAGUUUCAACAUAUUAAAGCCCUUUUAGAACUAUAUCCCGACGAUGACGCAAAGUCUAAUCAAACCAG